UUACAAGUCUACGAUAAGACAAUAUCUCUGUACACUGAUUAGAACAAUACAGACCGUAAGGUUAUAAUUAUG
This 72-nucleotide ribosomal RNA is filed under the name Plasmodium knowlesi strain H. Its description in RNAcentral is "Plasmodium knowlesi rRNA PKNH_MIT02100". The record is from RNAcentral. Lineage: Eukaryota; Apicomplexa; Aconoidasida; Haemosporida; Plasmodiidae.